Molecule: non-coding RNA, 79 nt
Filed under: unclassified sequences
Description: c-di-GMP sequence
Rfam family: c-di-GMP-II-GAG riboswitch aptamer (bases 7-74)
Source: Rfam by way of RNAcentral
UCUAAUGGAAGCGAAGAAACGCCCUGCCUAAACGGGCACCAUGGUGGGGCGUGGAGCGAGUGGUGCGACCGACCUCGGA